GGAAGUCAUGCUGCCAGGAAAGACCUCCCUCAACACUUUCCCCAAGAGAUUUAACCCUGCCGUUUAUCCUGGAUUCUCUCACAGCCUGACCCCUCUCUUGAUGCAACUGGAACCUUCACCAGCCUCCUUCAGUCCCCUCGUCAUCAUGAGCAGCGAAGACAAAAACAAAGAGGAGCGGAUCCCAGAGCCCGUCUCUGAACAGCCACGGUCAUCAUCACUGUGUCCACCGUGUGACUGCUCAUCUGAUGGUGCAGAUCAGGUGUGCGCACAUUUCUGUUCAGAGAUCUGCGCACAUUGUUGUUCUGCUUUAUGUGGUGUUCUCUGCGGUGUUUUAUGUGGUCUGUGUGACCAGAACUAACUCACGCACCAAAGCUCCAAUGUGGAGAUUGAAGGGAAGCUGGAGCUUCAGGACACUCAACUGGCCACUGGGAUGGAGCUUGGUGUAUCUGUGAGCGACGGGGUCUCGGGAAUGCUUCCUACUGGCCGCAGGAUGACCGUUUCACAUGAUAAAUUCAUCCCAUCGUACUGACAGCUAAAGAUAAUCAGUAUUAGGAAGUGUGUAUAUUAUGUGUAUGUAUUUAUUUCAAAAACAAUAGUAAAACUAAUAGCCAUUAACACACUAACAUAAGCCAUUCGUAUGUGCUUUAAGGAGUGGUUUUAUUCUAUAGUAGCACCACCACAACAUCUACACAAUACAAAAUAAAUGUAUUUAUUUCAUCAAUAGGGACUCAGUUAAAUGCCUGGGUGAAUAAGUGUGUCCAGUCUGGAGAGAGAUGAACUUUUCUUUUGGUUAUUUGUUUCUAUAUAAAUUCACAACAAACUCACA
This is a long non-coding RNA of Pygocentrus nattereri (red-bellied piranha), 826 nucleotides long. RefSeq lists it as uncharacterized. The record is from RefSeq and is a predicted model, not a curated record. NCBI's taxonomy places the organism in Eukaryota, Metazoa, Chordata, Actinopteri, Characiformes, Serrasalmidae. The transcript is spliced from 4 exons.